UGGGUGAAUGGUCAAUGUCUUGC
This 23-nucleotide non-coding RNA is filed under the name Rattus norvegicus (Norway rat). The record is from RNAcentral. Lineage: Eukaryota; Metazoa; Chordata; Mammalia; Rodentia; Muridae.